RNAcentral lists this transfer RNA (63 nucleotides) under Salmo salar (Atlantic salmon). It matches the Rfam family "tRNA", at positions 8 to 63 of the family's 71-position model. Rfam says of the family: Transfer RNA (tRNA) molecules are approximately 80 nucleotides in length. Their secondary structure includes four short double-helical elements and three loops (D, anti-codon, and T loops). Lineage: Eukaryota; Metazoa; Chordata; Actinopteri; Salmoniformes; Salmonidae. The record is from Rfam by way of RNAcentral.
UGGCUCAGUUGGUAGAGCAUGGUGCUUGCAACACCAGGGUUGUGGGUUCGAUACGAUUCCCAC